Long non-coding RNA from Ailuropoda melanoleuca (giant panda), 2319 nucleotides. RefSeq lists it as uncharacterized. The record is from RefSeq and is a predicted model, not a curated record. NCBI's taxonomy places the organism in Eukaryota, Metazoa, Chordata, Mammalia, Carnivora, Ursidae. The transcript is spliced from 6 exons.
CCCACUCGUGCGCACGCUUGCAUUCACGCGUCCACUUAACCGCGGUCAGUGAGCGCCUCCUGUGUGCAAGCCGCGGUGUCAAAGACCAGCCUGUGGGGUGCUGCUUAAAGGAGAUCACAGAAAAGAGCAGUCGCUGAAGGCAGAUGUGGAGGGAAGAGAGCAGUUCGUUCUUUCUUUUUCUUUUUCAAAAGAGAUUGGGAGAUACGAAGCACGGACGGGAAUGACCUGAUGGAAGGGAAACGGGACGAGCGCAUGCGCUCCCGGGCCUGAGCGGGCGGGCGGGGGCUUCCGCUUGGCGGGACCGAAGUCUGGAAAGUUUAAGAAGCAGAUUACAAAAGGACUCCAGCAGUCAAGCACACAGGGAAGGUCCUCCCACAAACGGUGAAGGGCUAAUAAGAUGGUGUCCACAAGAGUGGGUGGAGAGAUAUGGAAGAUAAAGGCCGCCCAAGGGAACAUCCUGCCCAUCCAGCCAUACCCCACUUGCGAUACAGCUGGUGAGAAAAGGGAGUCUUCUCUGCCCUUGAAACUGAAUACAGUCAACUAGGACAAACCCAUUACUUUCUCACAAAAAACCCUUUCCAAAUCUUUUUAAGGAGUCCGUAUUCGUUUUGCCACUGAGGGAGAAGCAAAAUCCUGGAAGACCCUUAAGGCAUUGGAUCAAACUGCUGAUAGUGAGCUCUUCCUUGUUGCAAGAAGUGUGGAUUUCAUUCAAGACCUCUGUGUGCCUUCCAGGACUGUUGGGUGGCAUCCGCAAUAGAAUAAAUUUGCUGUCUUUCACCUGUGAAAAUGGUUCCCCAGAACCUCAAUCAGGAUCAUGCCUCCCUGCCCAGGCUCGUCUCCUGAUUUUAAGGUGUUGGAAAACAGAGAGGUUUGUUCCCCCACCAGCCCUCACCCACCAGACCUGGUGUUUGGAGAAAGCUGCGUUGGACCAAGAAAGUGAUCUUUAGCGAAGGAAUCCAGCUGAGAGAACUGCCUAUGACACAGCCUGCUGAUGAGGAAACAGAGGCCCAAAGUUUAAUCCAGCGAAGAUUCUCAGGAACGGGCCAGAACCUGAACACAAAUCUCCCAAUAAUUACCUCAUGGUUAUUUUCUGCCCUUGAUCUACAAGUGGAGGCAUCUUCUGACAUAAUAUGGACAUUUUACGUAAUAGUGAAAGAAACUAGAAACCGUUGCACACACCAGAGUAGGGUUCAUCUGGACACCAUUUUGUCUCCUUCGCAACGUAGCUUUGCCCAAUUUACGGUUAGAAUAAUCUGAUUUCACACCACAGUGAUCAUUCCACAUUUGAGUAACACAGAACGUCCUCACCCGGUGUCUAAAGCCCUUUGAUGCCCCACUUUUGUCUUUUAGUGCCAAUUCUUGUUAGCUGGAGACAAAUUAUCUACAGGCCCAGCAAAGAAAGGGGCCCAUUUGGCAACUAUUCAUCCUUGUCAGAUUUGAAGCCAUUCCACGAAGGCAUUUUAAUUAGGCGGUGGGAGAGCUGCCACAUUUAGAAGCAGCUCCUAAAUGGGAAGCAGAGAAUUCCAAGACCAACUGAGUUCUUGGUGCUUGUGCUGUUUACCAUUUAAAAGACAGCCCCAGUGAUUCUUCUCCAGCCCUCCUUUCGUACUCCAGGCUUUGUAAGAUUCGGAACGGUUCAGUGAUUUCUUGAGGCUCAUUCCUUAGCCGUUCUCGUUGUGCUUCUGACUGCAUGGUUUUCAGACAGAACACGGGUCCUUUGAUCAUGCUUUAAUGAACUCAAGCUAUGCACCGUAUAAAUGGUGAUUGUUUUGAUUAUUAUCUUCAGUUUUUCCACAAGUGCUAAGGGACGACACAUUUUAAUGGGGGCCUUUACAAUCCGUGCAUCUGAAAUGGUUUUUGUUCACUCAAAGCAAUAAACCAAAAAUCCACAACGUCCUGUGUUAGUUAACUGCUUGCUUACAAAAAGUGGACCAAGUAGCUCAGUGUUAAGCAUCGUUGUCUCUGUUUCACAGCGUGGAAGCUGUAGGAGAGAAAGAUUAAGUCGGCCAGCUCGUGAAAGGCAGGGUAAGGCCUCAAAGCCAGCACCCAGAUCAUAUUGUAGCAGUUGUUCAAAUGAGAAAUCACAAUUUUCAUCUCCUGAUCGAUGUCAAACAUAUUGGCAGUAUUUCUAGAAGCUCGUGAGUGAGCAUUUAUCGAAAGGAAGUUUCCCGGCUUAGAUAAAAGAAAUGGAACAUGGCCAUGUGAUAGAAUAGAGAACUCUGGACCCAAAACUAGGACUUGAUUUCUGUCCUGAGGUCUGCACCUGACAACUGCCGUGACCUUGAGCAAGAAACCCCAUGUCCCUGGGCUUCCAGUUCC